GACGAACGCUGGCGGCGUGCUUAAUACAUGCAAGUCGAACGGAAAGGCCCUGCUUUUGUGGGGUGCUCGAGUGGCGAACGGGUGAGUAACACGUGAGUAACCUGCCCUUAUCUUUGGGAUAACUCUACGAAACUGGGGCGCAUAUCGGAUAGGAGCUCCUGCUGCAUGGUGGGGGUUGGUAAGUUUCGGCGGUUGGGGCUGGUCUGGCGGGUUAUCAGCUUGUUGGUGGGGUAGUGGCUUACCAAGGGUUCGAAGGAUAGGCGGCAUGGGAGGGGGACCGGCCUCAUUGGGACUGAGAUAGGCCCCAGACUGCUACGGGCGGCAGCGGUGGGGAGUAUUGCAGAAUGGGCGGGAGCCUGAUGCAGCAACGCCGGGUGCGGGAUGACGGCCUUCGGGUUAUAAACCGCUUUCGCCUGUGACGAAGCGGGAGUGACGGUAAUGGGUAAAGAAGCACCGGCUAACUACGUG
This 468-nucleotide ribosomal RNA is filed under the name uncultured bacterium. RNAcentral's name for it is "partial 16S ribosomal RNA". It matches the Rfam family "Bacterial small subunit ribosomal RNA", at positions 28 to 507 of the family's 1533-position model. The record is from RNAcentral.